This 318-nucleotide ribosomal RNA is filed under the name Laimosemion xiphidius. RNAcentral's name for it is "partial 12S ribosomal RNA". It matches the Rfam family "Bacterial small subunit ribosomal RNA", at positions 875 to 1360 of the family's 1533-position model. The record is from RNAcentral. Lineage: Eukaryota; Metazoa; Chordata; Actinopteri; Cyprinodontiformes; Rivulidae.
GAAAAUUACAAGCAUAAGCUCAAAACUCAAAGGACUUGGCGGCGUUUUAGAUCCCCCUAGAGGAGCCUGUCCUAUAACCGAUAACCCCCGUUAAACCUUACCUUCUUUUGCAUUCAGUCUAUAUACCGCCGUCGUCAGCUCACCUUUUGAAAGUUUUACUAGUAAGCAAAACUGGUUAAGCCCAAAACGUCAGGUCAAGGUGUAGCAUAUAAGAAGUGAAGAGAUGGGCUACAUUUCCUACCCAGGGUUUCCCGGAGAAUGUUUUGAAACAAACAUAUUGAAGAAGGAUUUAGUAGUAAGUAAAAACCAGGAAGUUUU